UACAGAGGUCUCAAGCGUUGUUCGGAUUCAUUGGGCGUAAAGGGUGCGUAGGCGGCGCGGUAAGUCGGGUGUGAAAUCUUGGAGCUUAACUCCGAAACUGCAUUCGAUACUGCCGUGCUUGAGGACUGGAGAGGAGACUGGAAUUUACGGUGUAGCGGUGAAAUGCGUAGAUAUCGUAAGGAAGACCAGUGGCGAAGGCGGGUCUCUGGACAGUUCCUGACGCUCAGGCACGAAAGCGUGGGGAGCAAACAGG
RNAcentral lists this ribosomal RNA (253 nucleotides) under uncultured bacterium. RNAcentral's name for it is "partial 16S ribosomal RNA". It matches the Rfam family "Bacterial small subunit ribosomal RNA", at positions 524 to 776 of the family's 1533-position model. The record is from RNAcentral.